Carassius carassius (crucian carp) is the source of this 1059-nucleotide long non-coding RNA. RefSeq lists it as uncharacterized. The transcript has 4 exons. Lineage: Eukaryota; Metazoa; Chordata; Actinopteri; Cypriniformes; Cyprinidae. The record is from RefSeq and is a predicted model, not a curated record.
GACCAAUGAUCUAAACACUUAAGAGAUAUUUUUAUUAACCAUAUGAUAGAACUCUGCCAUCGUCAGCAAGCAGGAGACAGAGGAUCAAGUGAUGAUCACAGGUUGAGGCAGAGACGAUAUGCUGGGAUGAAGACAGACAACUGGAAAGGAUUUGAUGAACAGGUAGGUAGAACAGGUAAGUUGAUGCACACUAGUGAACAACAAUCCUGCAUUCAAAUCCUCCUGGGAAGCCUGUACUUGUGAGUUGACAAGUCAAAGUUACGACAUCAGGACCAGACACUGAGGUGGGGAAGGUGGCUAAAUACUGAGACUGAUAAGUGUUGACAGGUGGUCAGAUGAAAUUGCAGUAAGAUUGAUUGCUGAUAUAGAGAGGACUGUUAAAAAUGUUUCUGUCAGUCUGGAGAUCCUCACAGAACCAGUCAGUCCCAUCAAGGUUUCAGCAUCAUCUAUGCAAUAUCAAUGGGCAGUUGAGCCCAAACCCCAGUUCUGCCUUGUGUUUUCUGUGGGCCUGGAUUUCAGGAUGUUUAUCAUCUUGGCCAAUGCUGUCUCUGGAAAGGGAAGGGGAAGGAGAUUGUGCACAUGUGACAUUUGAAGUAUUUUCCCACAGCUGAGGAUGGUUAACUGUUUUCGGGGGCUCCAGUAUUACCAAGAAUCUGUGUUUGAACUGGUAGUUUCAACAGACGGGAUCACACACUAGCGUGUGCUUGUACCCUCCCACGUAAACACGCACAUGCACACAGAUAAAUCUGGACAAACUAUCUAGUGACUUCAUCCUUUAAGUCGUUUCUAUCUCUCUCUAGACUGGUCUUUGUGUGGUUUGUCAUGCCUCUUGCCCUUCAGUUUCCACAUUACUCUUUUGAAGUCAAAAUCUGAAAGAAUUACUCAGAAUUUAGUUCACUGGGUAGGACUGGAUUUUAAUGAUAGCCUUUACUAUCAGAGAGUAAAAAUGCAUAAUUUCUUAUGAGACAGUGCAACAAUGCAUGACAUUUUUAAGGUGUUGAGCCCAAUUUUGACAGUAUGUUAUAGUUAAAGAAUUCCUUAUUCUCAAAUGAAUGUUUA